This 497-nucleotide ribosomal RNA is filed under the name uncultured bacterium. RNAcentral's name for it is "partial 16S ribosomal RNA". It matches the Rfam family "Bacterial small subunit ribosomal RNA", at positions 28 to 507 of the family's 1533-position model. The record is from RNAcentral.
GAUGAACGCUGGCGGCGUGCCUAAUACAUGCAAGUCGAGCGAACAGACGAGGAGCUUGCUCCUCUGACGUUAGCGGCGGACGGGUGAGUAACACGUGGAUAACCUACCUAUAAGACUGGGAUAACUUCGGGAAACCGGAGCUAAUACCGGAGAAUAUAUUGAACCGCAUGGUUCAAUAGUGAAAGACGGUUUUGCUGUCACUUAUAGAUGGAUACGGGCCGCAUUAGCUAGUUGGUAGGGUAACGGCUUACCAAGGCUACGAUGCGUAGACGACGUGCGGGAGGGGUCGCCCACACGGGAGGUUAGACACGGUCCAGAGUCCUACGAGAGGCAGCAGUAGGGUAUCGUCCGCAACGGUCGAAAGCCUGACGGAGCAAGGCCGCGUGAGUUAUGAAGGCGUUCGGAUCGUAAAACUCUGUUAUUAGGGAAGAACAACUGUGUAAGUAACUAUGCACGUCUUGACGGUACCUAAUCAGAAAGCCACGGCUAACUACGUG